GACGAACGCUGGCGGCGUGCUUAACACAUGCAAGUCGAACGGAAAGGCCCUGCUUUUGUGGGGUGCUCGAGUGGCGAACGGGUGAGUAACACGUGAGUAACCUGCCCUUGACUUUGGGAUAACUUCUGGAGACUGGGGCUAAUACCGGAUAGGAGCUCUUGCUGCAUGGUGGGGGUUGGAAAGUUUCGGCGGUUGGGGAUGGACUCGCGGCUUAUCAGCUUGUUGGUGGGGUAGUGGCUUACCAAGGCUUUGACGGGUAGCCGGCCUGAGAGGGUGACCGGCCACAUUGGGACUGAGAUACGGCCCAGACUCCUACGGGAGGCAGCAGUGGGGAAUAUUGCACAAUGGGCGGAAGCCUGAUGCAGCAACGCCGCGUGCGGGAUGACGGCCUUCGGGUUGUAAACCGCUUUCGCCUGUGACGAAGCGUGAGUGACGGUAAUGGGUAAAGAAGCACCGGCUAACUACGUG
This 468-nucleotide ribosomal RNA is filed under the name uncultured bacterium. Its description in RNAcentral is "partial 16S ribosomal RNA". It matches the Rfam family "Bacterial small subunit ribosomal RNA", at positions 28 to 507 of the family's 1533-position model. The record is from RNAcentral.